AGAGUUUGAUCAUGGCUCAGAUUGGACGCUGGCGGCAGGCUUAACACAUGCAAGUCGAACGGUAACAGAACUAGCUUGCUAGUUGCUGACGAGUGGCGGACGGGUGAGUAACGCGUAGGAAUCUACCGAAUAGUGGGGGACAACAGUUGGAAACGGCUGCUAAUACCGCAUACGCCCUACGGGGGAAAGGAGGGGAUCUUCGGACCUUUCGCUAUUUGAUGAGCCUGCGUGAGAUUAGUUAGUUGGUGGGGUAAUGGCUCACCAAGGCGACGAUCUCUAGCUGGUCUGAGAGGAUGAUCAGCCACACUGGGACUGAGACACGGCCCAGACUCCUACGGGAGGCAGCAGUGGGGAAUAUUGCACAAUGGGGGAAACCCUGAUGCAGCCAUGCCGCGUGUGUGAAGAAGGCCUUCGGGUUGUAAAGCACUUUCAGUUGUGAGGAAAGGUUAAGGGUUAAUAACCCUUAG
This 467-nucleotide ribosomal RNA is filed under the name uncultured bacterium. RNAcentral's name for it is "bacterial SSU rRNA". It matches the Rfam family "Bacterial small subunit ribosomal RNA", at positions 8 to 472 of the family's 1533-position model. The record is from RNAcentral.